RNAcentral lists this long non-coding RNA (527 nucleotides) under Capra hircus (goat). Its description in RNAcentral is "lncRNA (ENSCHIG00010009653.1)". Lineage: Eukaryota; Metazoa; Chordata; Mammalia; Artiodactyla; Bovidae. The record is from RNAcentral.
AAGUCGUCCUGUUGCUAAUAGCAGAAUCCUGAAAGCUGCUGAAACUUAGAAGCUGAUUUUGUCACAGUGUAAGAUGACUUUGGAAAAUUCUGCAUUCCUUUUAGAUGAAUCUUUACAACUUGGUGAUUGUGAACUUGCCUGACCUACUUGGCUGCACAAAAGCAACUUGGUAGUUUACCGAAAUUUUAAUAGAUCAAAACAAUGAUUGCACUGCAAAAAGAGGAAUAUUUGUGGCCUUGACAGUGUAAGUUUUGGUAGUAUUUAUGUGCAUCUGGUGGCCUCAUUGAUGAAGUAUAUGUCAUAACGUUGUUAUAAGAUUUAUACGUAUUAGUUGUAAGUUAUUAAACAUCUCAUGAGCUGACCCUAAACCUAUUAUUUUCAUAGUAUUACUUAAUCAAAUUAUUUGACGGGUCCCUGUAGUUUUAUAGCACUGAUAAAAUUCUGUACUUCUUUUGAGUUGAUACAAUUUACUCUCUUUUUCUGGAGACCCAUCUCAGAAAUUUACAUAAAGUGCCUCUUAAAAAUAA